UCUGCAGCAUCCCGCCAAUAAGGGGAAAACAUAUACUUUACCAUCAAUUUGGCUCUGGUCUGAACAAAAGACCCAUUAUCUGCUAUUCUACUUUACAUAUCGCUUACACUGAAGGCUGGCAUUGAAAAGAACAACACCUGCUCAUGAAUGGCCUGGACAUAGUUCUGUGAUGGCUGAAGGACAAACAUGCCCACCAAUGAGCCAAUAGAUCUAUCUGUUUCUGCUGGUUACAAUGGAGAGGAAGAUCUAACUGUCACUGUAGAUGUAGGGCGCUCCGCCAAGAAUACUCGCACCGACUAAGUGUUAAUACCCGGUUUGAUUGGGACUCUUAACUGUCUUCCAAGAUUCGAUACCAAGCUUGCAAACUCCGACAUCAAUGGCCUACCACAAAGCUUGGAUCUCUAGCUAUUGCAGUGGGUGCAUAUGAUGUAGGGAAACUGAAUUUGGAGCUUGAGGUUCGAAUGAUAAGUGUCUUCAUUCAGCUUGGUUUUGAGGACCAAUCAGACACUGACAUACUUCUGUGCAAGGUCUUCAUCAAGAUAUCCAUAGGAUAGGAAUGACAA
Molecule: long non-coding RNA, 563 nt
Organism: Brassica napus (rape)
Lineage: Eukaryota; Viridiplantae; Streptophyta; Magnoliopsida; Brassicales; Brassicaceae
Exons: 3
Source: RefSeq, a predicted model, not a curated record